UUACGCUGUUAUCCCUAAGGUAAUUUAGUCUUAUAAUCACUAAAAAUGGAUCAAAAAUCUAUAAAUAAAUAUAAGAAAAUAAAAAGAGUUAUAUUAAUCUUCCCAUCACCCCAACAAAAUUCAAAUAAUACUAAAAAUUUUAUCCCACAAAAAAUAAAAAUUAAAUUAAACUCUAUAGGGUCUUCUCGUCCUAAAAAAAUAUUUAGGCAUUUUAACCUAAAAUUUAAAUUCAACAUAUUAAAAUGUAAGAAAGUUAAUACCUCGUCAAAUCUUUCAUACCAGCUUCCAAUUAAGAAACAACUGAUUAUGCUACCUUUGCACAGUCAAAAUACUGCGGCCAUUUAAUAGCUACCAGUGGGCAGACCCGACCUGUUAAACAAAAUCAAGAGGAGAUGUUUUUGUUAAACAGGAG
Molecule: ribosomal RNA, 412 nt
Filed under: Cryptocercus wrighti
Lineage: Eukaryota; Metazoa; Arthropoda; Insecta; Blattodea; Cryptocercidae
Description: partial 16S ribosomal RNA
Source: RNAcentral